AAUGAACGUUGGCGGCAUGGAUUAGGCAUGCAAGUCGAGCGAGAAGAGUUUUGAAGCUUGCUUUAGAACUCGGACAGCGGCGAAAGGGAGAGUAACGCGUAGUUAUGUGCCCUAGGGUCCGGAACAGCCACGGGAAACUGUGGGUAAUGCCGGAUAACAUCCCCGGAUCAAAGGUGUGAUUCCGCCCUAGGAGCAGACUGCGUCCUACUAGCUAGUUGGUGGGGUAAUGGCCCACCAAGGCAAUGAUGGGUAGCGGGUGUGAGAGCAUGACCCGUCUCACUGGGACUGAGACACUGCCCAGACACCUACGGGUGGCUGCAGUCGAGAAUCUUCGGCAAUGGGCGAAAGCCUGACCGAGCGAUGCCGCGUGCGGGAUGAAGGCCCUCGGGUUGUAAACCGCUGUCGUAGGGGAGGAAGGUUCCGUGAAGAGCGGAAUUUGACCUAUCCUAGGAGGAAGUACGGGCUAAGUUCGUGCCAGCAGCCGCGGUAA
RNAcentral lists this ribosomal RNA (490 nucleotides) under uncultured bacterium. RNAcentral describes it as "partial 16S ribosomal RNA". It matches the Rfam family "Bacterial small subunit ribosomal RNA", at positions 29 to 523 of the family's 1533-position model. The record is from RNAcentral.